AAUAUAGGCAUUUAUUGACUUUCAGACGUCACGUUUGACCAUCCGUCUUAUUCAAAAAUUUUCUGAAUAUAUUAUUUAUUUUGUUAUGAUUUGUUUUAUCAUUAGGUAUACUUAAUUUAUUUGUCUUUAUAUUUCUAUAAAUUUUUUUGAAUAAGACGGAUGGUCAAACGUGAUGUGCGGAAACCGAUAAAUGCUUAUAUU
This 201-nucleotide microRNA precursor is filed under the name Leersia perrieri. RNAcentral's name for it is "MIR812 microRNA precursor family". It matches the Rfam family "MIR812 microRNA precursor family". Lineage: Eukaryota; Viridiplantae; Streptophyta; Magnoliopsida; Poales; Poaceae. The record is from Rfam by way of RNAcentral.